This 429-nucleotide ribosomal RNA is filed under the name Gemmatimonadota bacterium. RNAcentral describes it as "Gemmatimonadetes bacterium partial 16S ribosomal RNA". It matches the Rfam family "Bacterial small subunit ribosomal RNA", at positions 355 to 776 of the family's 1533-position model. Lineage: Bacteria; Pseudomonadati; Gemmatimonadota. The record is from RNAcentral.
UAGGGAAUCUUCGGCAAUGGACGAAAGUCUGACCGAGCAACGCCGCGUGAGUGAAGAAGGUUUUCGGAUCGUAAAACUCUGUUGUUAGAGCAGAACAAGGACGUUAGUAACUGAACGUCCCCUGACGGUAUCUAACCAGAAAGCCACGGCUAACUACGUGCCAGCAGCCGCGGUAAUACGUAGGUGGCAAGCGUUGUCCGGAUUUAUUGGGCGUAAAGCGAGCGCAGGCGGUUUCUUAAGUCUGAUGUGAAAGCCCCCGGCUCAACCGGGGAGGGUCAUUGGAAACUGGGAGACUUGAGUGCAGAAGAGGAGAGUGGAAUUCCAUGUGUAGCGGUGAAAUGCGUAGAUAUAUGGAGGAACACCAGUGGCGAAGGCGGCUAUCUGGUCUGUAACUGACGCUGAGGCUCGAAAGCGUGGGGAGCAAACAGG